RNAcentral lists this long non-coding RNA (437 nucleotides) under Gossypium raimondii (Peruvian cotton). RNAcentral describes it as "long non-coding RNA (GRAI_LNC001267)". The record is from RNAcentral. Lineage: Eukaryota; Viridiplantae; Streptophyta; Magnoliopsida; Malvales; Malvaceae.
UCUACUUCUUUUCCUUCCAUUUCCUUGUAAACCAAAUAACAAUUUUAUUAAAUACUGUUUAAAAGAUCAUAGGAGCAAAAUGAACCGUAGAUUUUUUACUUCCCUCCAUUUUGGGUUUUUUACAAAAAGAUUAUAAAAAAAAAAAAAUUUACCAAAAUGUUAUAACUUUUUUAUUUACCAAAAUAUAUAAAAAACAAAAAACCUGCAAAAAAAAUCAGAUCGAUGUGACGGGACCCUAGUCACGCCAAUGGUAUUGGCGGCGCCAAAGGUGCCAAAACCAUUGGCGGCACCAGUUAAUAAUAGGGGGGUCGGUGGUGGGGGGCAAAAGGAGAGGGAAAGAAAGAAAGAAAGAAAGGAGAGGAAAGAAAGAAAAAGAAGGAAAGAAAAGGAAAGGAGAAGAGAAAAAAAGAAAGAAAGAAGAAGAAGAAAAGGAAAAG